CCCUUAGAGAUCCUGGGCUGCACGCGACAUACAAUGACAGUGGCAUCGAGUUGCUUCGCCGAAAGGCGCGGCUAAUCUUUGAAAUGCUGUCGUAGUGGGGAUUGACACUUGAAAUUCUUUGUCAUGAACUAGGAAUGCUUAGUAGGUAGGUGUCAUCAUCGCCUGCCGACUACGUCAAUGUUCUUUGUACACACCGCCCGUCAUUUCUACCGAUUGGAUAUUCAGUUGAGUUGUUCGGAUGUAACGCGGACUCGUCCGCGACUCAGAAGUUCCGCGAGGCUUAAUAUCUAGAGGAAGAACAAGUCGUAACA
RNAcentral lists this ribosomal RNA (311 nucleotides) under uncultured eukaryote. RNAcentral's name for it is "partial 18S ribosomal RNA". It matches the Rfam family "Eukaryotic small subunit ribosomal RNA", at positions 1470 to 1796 of the family's 1831-position model. The record is from RNAcentral.